AUGCAUCAACAAAAUGACAUAUAUUUAGUGACAAUAUUAGUUAUGUCAAAGUUAAAAGUUCAGUAUGAAGAGCGACAAUACAGAGCAUUUGUAGCUAACUUAUUUCCACACAAAAUUUUGAAUUUCUUUUCGCCCAUUAAGGGCAUUUUUAAUCAAAUGUUAUAUUUUUCUAUACAAGGCGCAAGUGAAAGUCAAUACAUGCCAACGAUAACAAGGUCUUACAUAAAGUUUAAGCUAACUAAACCUUCCACUGGGCUGACAUUGAACCAAUUCUACGGAACAAAAGGUGAAUCCCAGAAGUACAAGAUGUAUCAUAAAUGGAAACUAGUCAUGAAGAGUCGCUCCUAUGUAUAG
This 354-nucleotide ribosomal RNA is filed under the name Triticum aestivum (bread wheat). RNAcentral describes it as "partial small subunit ribosomal RNA". Lineage: Eukaryota; Viridiplantae; Streptophyta; Magnoliopsida; Poales; Poaceae. The record is from RNAcentral.